Psammomys obesus (fat sand rat) is the source of this 1613-nucleotide long non-coding RNA. RefSeq lists it as uncharacterized. NCBI's taxonomy places the organism in Eukaryota, Metazoa, Chordata, Mammalia, Rodentia, Muridae. The record is from RefSeq and is a predicted model, not a curated record. The transcript is spliced from 4 exons.
UCUGCGCGGCGCGGGGGGCUCGCGGCCCGCGGUUGACUCGCUGCGGUCGGGAGGGUCAGGCCUGAGGGUCAGCCCCGCCGGCCCUCCAGAAAGCCGGGAGCGCGAUGGCGCCUUUACCCCGCCCUCCCCGCCGCCGGAAGCCGCGCUUGCAGGGACAGCGCUCCUGGGGGUGUAGUGCGUUCUUUUGAGUCGGGAUCCUCCCGUGUAGCCCAGCGAGGGCUGCAGCCCUCAGACGGUGUCUGUUUUCUUUCCUUUAAAAUAAGCCGUUUGCUUUUAACGGUGCCUUUAGCUUGCACUAGGGAGGGGAGAGCUCACGGUCCCGGCUUCACGGCUGGAAACUGACCUGCCUGCCCACUCACCCGCCAGCCCCCACCCAGACAGCGACGUGCCGCCCCGAGAGGACCAUCUCGGGGAAGAUUCCUGGGGAAGCCGAGGGUGGCAAAGGGCCCUGGAGUCGCGGGCAGGUCUAACGGUGACCGCUCCUGUGCGGCUCUGUGUGGGGGAGACCCCAUCGCCUCUGAGCUGAACAGAGCUGGAGGGACGUGACUGCCGUGACCUUUCCCCCACUUCCCAGGAUGACUGGUGUGUGACAGGGAGGGCGGGAUGCCCGGAAGAACAGAGACGGGCUGUCGGGCAGACAGGGCCCUGGAAAUCCGCUUUCUUGAGCAACCCCAUCAGCACGGUUCGUCAUUGCACGCAGUGUCCGUGCCCCUUUACCCAGAAUCCUCCCGGGAACUCCCCCUCAGACGGGAACAGGAAACUGGCUGCGGCGUUGACUCUACAAGCUGGAGAGGAGGGACAGUGAUGUCAGCUUCAACUGUAGGAUUUCAAAGCCUGCCAAUGCUCCCAGGGCCUUUUGUCCCAGAGUUUAGAAUCACCUUGGAAACAGCUCCUGGGUGGAGUCCUCGUCCUGGUGGAGGUAACGGGCCACACCCGCUCGGCAGCCCUGGACUGCACGCGUAGAUCGGCCAUAUUCUUCUUGCUCUGAAUCACCAAAGCUUUCCUCUCCUCACCCUGCCUUGGCAUCCACAGCCGGCUCUGGCAUGGGGGAGCCCAGGCAGCCGCCAGUGGGCCAGCGCUGGGCACGUAGCUUCGGGACUACGGAGCUUUUGAUAAUCCAUCAAGAAUAUAUUUCCUUGUCAGGGACCACCUGAGAGAACUCGCCAACUUCAGAGACCACCUGUGGAAGCUCACCAACUUGCCUCAACUUGCCCGUUCCCUUACCUGCAGUAAACAUACUGCUUGGAGAUGCCCAUUCCCUUACCUGCAGUAAACAUACUGCUUGGAGAUGCCCGUUCCCUUACCUGCACCUGCAGUAAACACACUGCUUGGAGAUGCCCGUUCCCUUACCUACAGUAAACAUACUGCUUGGAGAUGUCUGUUCCCUUACCUACAGUAAACAUACUGCUUGGAGAUGCCCGUUCCCUUACCUACAGUAAACAUACUGCUUGGCAACAGCAGAGAUGUGCUCACAGAACCGUGGCUUAUCACAAGAUGUUUCAGAGAAGAAAUCUGGCCGAGAAGAAUCUGUAAUUUUUCACCCACCCUACUUCCUUAUCCUGAACCCUUUAUAAAAGCUGAUUCUGCUCAGUAAAGUUAGUCCUUGACAAGCA